UUAACGAACGAGACCCCCGCCUGCUAAAUAGCUGUGGGAAUGCGCUUGCAUUGCCUCAACUUCUUAGAGGGACUUUCGGUGACUAACCGAAGGAAGCUGGGGGCAAUAACAGGUCUGUGAUGCCCUUAGAUGUCCUGGGCCGCACGCGCGCUACACUGGCACACGCAACGAGUCUAUCACCUUGGUCGGCAGGCCUGGGUAAUCUGUGAACGUGUGCCGUGAUUGGGAUUGAUUGUUGCAAUUUUCAAUCAUGAACGAGGAAUUCCUAGUAAACGCGAGUCAUCAGCUCGCAUUGAUUACGUCCCUGCCCUUUGUACACACCGCCCGUCGCACCUACCGAUUGAAUGGUUCGGUGAAACCUCCGGACUGGGGUUCGCAAGCUUCACGGCGAACGUACCUCGGGAAGUUGGUUAAACCUCACUAUUUAGAGGAAGGUGAAGU
This 441-nucleotide ribosomal RNA is filed under the name Aureococcus anophagefferens. RNAcentral's name for it is "SSU rRNA". It matches the Rfam family "Eukaryotic small subunit ribosomal RNA", at positions 1328 to 1789 of the family's 1831-position model. The record is from RNAcentral. Lineage: Eukaryota; Pelagophyceae; Pelagomonadales; Pelagomonadaceae.